GCAAGUGUUUCAAGUGUGGCCAACCUGGACAUCUUAUCCGGGAGUGCCCGUCGUGGACGUCGUCUGCGCCAACGGCGGCUUCAACACCGUCUACCCCGAGACAGCUUGCGGGGUUGCCACCAGCGAUGUCGGCUGGGCGCGCGUCAGCACCGCGUCAGCCGGAGGGAUCGAGAGCGCCUAGCGGCCGAGUCUUUGCAGCUCAGGUGGAGGAGCAGCAACCUGCAGCACCCGACGACGUCGUGGCAGGUAUAAUUGUGAUUAAAGGCACUAGAGCUAGAGCAGUGUUUGAUACAGGCGCAUCUCAUUCAUUCAUUAGCACAUCAUUUGCUAAAACAC
This 336-nucleotide long non-coding RNA is filed under the name Ananas comosus (pineapple). Its description in RNAcentral is "long non-coding RNA (ACOM_LNC035300)". Lineage: Eukaryota; Viridiplantae; Streptophyta; Magnoliopsida; Poales; Bromeliaceae. The record is from RNAcentral.